RNAcentral lists this ribosomal RNA (513 nucleotides) under uncultured bacterium. Its description in RNAcentral is "partial 16S ribosomal RNA". It matches the Rfam family "Bacterial small subunit ribosomal RNA", at positions 28 to 507 of the family's 1533-position model. The record is from RNAcentral.
GACGAACGCUGGCGGCGUGCUUAACACAUGCAAGUCGAACGAGAGCGUAGAGAAAUCUUGCUUUUUCUACAAUCUAGUGGCAAACGGGUGAGUAACGCGUAAACAACCUGCCCUACUGAUGUGGACAACAGCUGGAAACGCCUGCUACUACCGAAUUCUUUCCCAACGUCGCUUGACUAUCGGAAGCAAUGUUGGCCUCUCUUUUUAAGCUAUCCCCGCUGCAGGGGUUUGCGUCUGAUUAGCUAGCUGGAGGGGUAACGGCCCACCAAGGCGACGAUCAGAAAGCGGACUGGAGGGAUGAACGGCCAAAAUGGAAAGGGGAAACGGGCCAGACUCCUAAGGGAGGGAGCAGGGGGGAAACUUCCGCAAUGGGGGAAAGCCUGACGGGGCAAAGCCGCGUGAGUGAAGACGGGCUUCGGGUUGUAAAGAUCUGUUAUACGGGACGAAUAAUAUUGUGGUGAAUACCCAUGAGAAGUGACGGUACCGAAAGAGAAAGCCACGGCUAACUACGUG